AAGAGGUCUGAAGUCUAGGGUGACAGGUAAGACACACACAGAAUAGAAAACUGUGGGAUCAGGGACAAGUGGCUUAUUUCUACCCGACAUCUGGAAGAGGUGGAGAAUCUGAAUAGGGUGUACAUUUGAGGACAAACAGCAAAGUGACUUCCCUUUUCCUAGCUAUGAAUUUGGGAUAUUCCUCUCUUUUCCUGUUUGGGCUUUUGUGUUCCUCAGAGAGGAGACCUCUAAUUCUGAGAAGUGGGCAAGAGGAGGUCAAACUACUGCUCACAAAACAAUGACUCAAAACCCUGAGUCUUUUCCGGAUUUACCUACAUUUAAAAACCAAAAAUCCUUUGCCCCCCCUCAGGCCUGCUGGAGGAACAGGGGCUCCUGUGGCUUUCUGGCAAAGGCAGUCAGGGUGUGAGGAAACCAGAAGGAACCAAAACACAAUGAGAAACCCCGUUCAGCCGACCACGGAAAAGUCCUCUUUGUUGUUUGAAAUUUUUAUCUUGUUUGUGGCAAAUCUAAUGAUUCAGUAACGACCACAGCUGUGUUGGGGCCCACGAAUUUCCUCAGAGGCUUCCCCCCACCCCCACCCCCCACUUGAGAGCAGGAACAAGGCCAGCUGGGUAGGCCACCCUCCUCCAGCUCUCUUCCCAGUCUCUGCAAUGUGUUUGGGACAAGCAGCGCUUGGGGCCGCCCGUCCGGAGAUUUUAUCCGACUUCUCCCGAAUCUAAUUCCGUGGGGGAGGAAGCGAAGUAAAACUGGCUGUUUUAGGUUCAUGGACGAUGCAUUUCUGGGCAUGAGGUUCAGCUCUCUGUAUCCUGCUGUUGAAGUGCUGGGGAUGCAGAAAUGAGUAACAUUGGGCUCCUGCCCUCCUGGGAUCACAGUCUUAUGGGCAGGAUAGACCCUUGAUGGAGCCUGAAGACUUUAUGGAGACGGCUGUGAUUCUUACGUUCUGUGGGGUCAAGGGCUCCUCGGAGAAUGGGAAGAAAGUGAUAAAUCAUCUCCCCAGAAAAUACACAUCAUUUCCGUAAAUUUUCAGGCGUUUCCAGAAUCAUCCCCCCCGCCCAACCCACUCAUAUGUUCCAGGCCAGAAAGAAUCCGGAGCAAGAAUGAGGGUAAGCGGAGAGGCCAAAUGAAGAGGAUUGGAGGGAUCGCCUGGAGAGCCAGGAGCCAGUAUAAACACACGUGACAUGGGAGAGAAAAGGGGGAUUAAUGGUUUUCUGUGAAGCAAAGCCUGGUGGGAAGAGCUCUGAUGCUGGCUCCACCACCGGCUAGCUGUGAUCUUGGACAGAUAACUGGACUUUGCAAGCCUGAAAUUCUUCAUCUUUAAAUGGGGAUCACUGUAGCCGCCCUCCCCCCCCCGGGGGAUCAUUAGAAGAUCAAAUAAACUGAUGUGCAGGAGGCCUUGGACAUGGUGCCUGGUACCCAGAAAAUGUUCAACAAAAGAGAGGUGCUAUGAUGGACUUCUAGGCAAAGCCUGAACGGCUAGAUUUUGUGCCCCCCUCCCCGCCCCGGCCCCCCCUCCCUCUGGCUGUUAUUGAUUAAGAGAUGACCUCAGAGUGACCCGGAGAAAUAACUUGAUAAUGAACCAUGGCUUUAGCAGAGUCAACCAGAAGAAUUUCCCACCUGGAUUGAGUUUCACAGGUGUGAUUUUUGAACCAGGAAAUCAAGCUGCGUUCCCUGGCAAAACUGUCUCACCCUUGGCGACCGGGGAAACGUCUGACCACCGGGUGCCUGGCCCCGCUUAAGCUGUGCAUUGUUGCAGAAUGGUUCCUGUUUAUCGAGGCUUACUUUGUGUCAGUCACUUCACUAAGCACUUUGCACCCACUGUUUCAUUUAUGCCUUAAUACCACCUGGAGAAGUAACUGAGUCCAUUUUACAGACAAGGAAAUGUAGGUUUAGCGAGACUUAGUACCUUAUCGAGGCUCCUUCUGACAGUAAUUGGUUUAAACUUAGGUCUAUCUGACUUCUAAAUCAAUCCAUCUAUCCUCUGUCUGGCUACCUAUCUACCAUCUGUCUAAUGGCCUCUCAUCUGUCUAUUUGAUGUGUUAAAUACAAACCACUUUGAUCUACUAAUUAAGACAAGUUCCUUCGAAACCUCGAGACUCUAGGGAAGUCUUUUUUGACCUCAGUUCAAGCUUCUCUUUUGAAAAUAUAGAGAUGUAUUCAUGGCUGGAGUUGUGCAGCUACAUCAUCCAUAACACAUACACGUGAUCUUCUGAGAAGCAUGUUGUUACUCAGAGGCCCCGUAACCUAGGUUAGGAGCCACUCUUGUGUUGGCCACACUUCCAGGGGUUCUGGGAGAGAGAAUGGUGUGCUGUGUCCUCUCCCUUGGGAGGACAGACAAUGCCACUCUCCGUUCUGCGUCGAGCUCCCUCUGCUGCCACGAACAAACCUAGUUGACCAGAACGGUCUCACUUCUCAAUGGGAAGCUGUUGGGUGAGAGAGGAAGUGUCAGAACAUCAGAUCAGCCUGACUUGGUUGCGAGAGACGGCAGAGGAGCAAAUCUGCCUUCCUGAAGGAAAAACAUCACCGGCCAUCGGUGGAGGGAAUUUGGCUUUUGGUUCCUAACUGGAGAAGACAGCUACCUGUCAAAUGGCGUGGAGUCGACUGGGGAGCCAAUGUGGCUAUGUUCCCACUUAGCGAUGUUCGGUUUUCUCUCCAGAAAUGUACUUUAUUUCUUCUAAAUUCGUAUUGUAGCUCAUCUCAGAUUAAUAAAGUUUUCUCUAUUAAAGGAGGCCCUUAGAGAGUCUACUUUAUUACAUUA
Long non-coding RNA from Lynx canadensis (Canada lynx), 2755 nucleotides. RefSeq lists it as uncharacterized. The record is from RefSeq and is a predicted model, not a curated record. Lineage: Eukaryota; Metazoa; Chordata; Mammalia; Carnivora; Felidae. The transcript is spliced from 5 exons.